This 469-nucleotide ribosomal RNA is filed under the name uncultured bacterium. RNAcentral's name for it is "partial 16S ribosomal RNA". It matches the Rfam family "Bacterial small subunit ribosomal RNA", at positions 28 to 507 of the family's 1533-position model. The record is from RNAcentral.
GACGAACGCUGGCGGCGUGCUUAACACAUGCAAGUCGAACGGAAAGGCCCUGCUUGCCGGGUGCUCGAGUGGCGAACGGGUGAGUAACACGUGGGUGAUCUGCCCCUUACUUUGGGAUAAGCCUGGGAAACUGGGUCUAAUACCGGAUAGGACCAUGCUGUAGGUGGUGUGGUGGAAAGAUUAGUUUCGGUAAGGGAUGAGCUCGCGGCCUAUCAGCUUGUUGGUGGGGUAAUGGCCUACCAAGGCGUCGACGGGUAGCCGGCCUGAGAGGGUGGACGGCCACAUUGGGACUGAGAUACGGCCCAGACUCCUACGGGAGGCAGCAGUGGGGAAUAUUGCACAAUGGGCGCAAGCCUGAUGCAGCGACGCCGCGUGGGGGAUGACGGCCUUCGGGUUGUAAACUCCUUUCAGCCAUGACGAAGCCCUUGUGGUGACGGUAGUGGUAGAAGAAGCACCGGCUAACUACGUG